GAUGAACGCUGGCGGCGUGCCUAAUACAUGCAAGUCGAGCGACCGGACGAGAAGCUUGCUCCUCUGAUGUUAGCGGGUGACGGGUGGGUAACAAGUGGAUAACCUUCUUCUAAUUCUGGGAUAACUUCGGGAAACAGGUGCUAAUACCGGCUAAUAUUUUCAACCGCAUGAUUCAAAAGUGAAAGACGGUCUUGCUGUUACUUAUAGAUGGAUCCGCGCUGCAUUAGCUAGUUGGUAAGGUAACGGCUUACCAAGGCAACGAUGCAUAGCCGACCUGAGAGGGUGAUCCGCCACACUGGAACUGAGACACGGUCCAGACUCCUACGGGAGGCAGCAGUAGGGAAUCUUCCGCAAUGGGCGCAAGCCUGACGGAGCAACGCCGCGUGAGUGAUGAAGGUCUUCGGAUCGUAAAACUCUGUUAUUAGGAAAGAACAUAUGUGUAAGUAACUGUGCACAUCUUGACGGUACCUAAUCAGAAAGCCACGGCUAACUACGUG
This 497-nucleotide ribosomal RNA is filed under the name uncultured bacterium. Its description in RNAcentral is "partial 16S ribosomal RNA". It matches the Rfam family "Bacterial small subunit ribosomal RNA", at positions 28 to 507 of the family's 1533-position model. The record is from RNAcentral.